This 698-nucleotide unclassified non-coding RNA is filed under the name Hevea brasiliensis (rubber tree). The record is from RNAcentral. Lineage: Eukaryota; Viridiplantae; Streptophyta; Magnoliopsida; Malpighiales; Euphorbiaceae.
UGGAUAAAUUGUUAGAAGAGCAAACAGAAAGGCCAAACUCAUUAUCCAAGAAUUAUGGCAGUGAAAGGGGAUUGCUGAAUCCAAAAGGAGAGACAAGCGAUUUCGAUGUUGAGGAGACUGACCUUCUUGAUGAUGCAACAUUUCUUCAUGGUGAUGGAGACAAAGAAGAGGUUGAUAUUGUUGGUGUUGGUGUUGGUGAUGGAGAAGCGGAAAAGGUUGAUAUUAUUGAUGGAGAGGAGACCGUCUUAGAUCAAUUAGAUUCAAUUCAAAAUGAAAACAUGGUUGUUGAGGAUCAAGACGACAUGCCUGUAGAAGUUCAAAAAGUAACAAUUUAUCAGGAAAAAUACGAAGACAGUUUAGUGCUGAGAUGGAGCAAGAUUUUAUUGUUGAUAUGUCUAGCAUAGGUGAGAUGUAAAAGGAUGGCGAUGAUGGGCAACUAGAGUCUGCAAUGGGGAAAAUAGGAGCUGAAUCUGAUGUAAUUGCACAAUUCAUUCACAAAAGUGAACUUUUUGAUGCAGAAUUUAUUAGGAAUGCUUUUGAAAAAAAGAAACAUAAAGGUGUUUCAAAAAGUGUGGGUGUUAGAAGCAAGUGGCAGUAUUUGGGGAGCAAAGAUGGUGAAUUCAGCUAUUUUACUCUUAUUAGUCUCAUGGAAGAUGAAUGGGAAAUAUCAAGAUGGGAAAGGAAGAAAGUUCAGCCAU